This 524-nucleotide ribosomal RNA is filed under the name uncultured Bacteroidota bacterium. RNAcentral describes it as "bacterial SSU rRNA". It matches the Rfam family "Bacterial small subunit ribosomal RNA", at positions 1 to 523 of the family's 1533-position model. Lineage: Bacteria; Pseudomonadati; Bacteroidota. The record is from RNAcentral.
CCUUGAGUUUGAUCAUGGCUCAGGAUGAACGCUAGCGGCAGGCUUAACACAUGCAAGUCGAGGGGCAGCGGGGUGUAGCAAUACAUCGCCGGCGACCGGCGCACGGGUGCGUAACACGUAUGGAAUCUGCCCUGUACUGGGAGAUAGCCCGGAGAAAUCCGGAUUAAUAUCCCAUAAUAUGUGAGGUGGCAUCACCUUGCUUUGAAAGCUCCGGCGGUACAGGAUGACCAUGCGCACGAUUAGCUAGUUGGUGAGGUAACGGCUCACCAAGGCUACGAUCGUUAGGGGGCCUGAGAGGGUUAUCCCCCACACUGGUGCUGAGACACGGACCAGACUCCUACGGGGGGCAGCAGUGAGGAAUAUUGCGCAAUGGAGGAAACUCUGACGCAGCCAUUUUUCUUGCAGGAAGAAGGCGCUACGCGUUGUAAGCUGCUUUUAACCGGGAAGAAACCCCAGGACGUGUCCUGGGUUGACGGUACCGGAGGAAUAAGCACCGGCUAACUUCGUGCCAGCAGCCGCGGUAA